This 490-nucleotide ribosomal RNA is filed under the name uncultured bacterium. RNAcentral describes it as "partial 16S ribosomal RNA". It matches the Rfam family "Bacterial small subunit ribosomal RNA", at positions 29 to 507 of the family's 1533-position model. The record is from RNAcentral.
AUUGAACGCUGGCGGCAUGCCUAACACAUGCAAGUCGAACGGUAACAGGAAAAGGCGAGGUGCUGCGCUGGGGAGAGGCGGGUAUGGGAACGAGGCCUGGGGAACUGCCUGAUGGAGGGGGAGAGCUACUAAAAACGGAAGCGAAUAGCGCAUAAAGGCGCAGGACCAAAGAAGGGGACCUUAUGGGCGCUGGCGAUAGGAGAUGCCCAGAUGGGAUUAGUUAGUUGGUGGGGUAACGGCUCACCGAGGCGACGAUCCGUAGCUGGUCUGAGAGGAUGACCAGCCACACUGGAACUGAGACACGGUCCAGACUCCUACGGGAGGCAGCAGUGGGGAAUUUUGGACAAUGGGCGCAAGCCUGAUGCAGCCAUGCCGCGUGUAUGAAGAAGGCCUUCGGGUUGUAAACCACUUUUGUCAGGGAAGAAGAGGUUCUGGCUAAUACCUGGGCUUAUUGACGUUACCUGAAGAAUAAGCACCGGCUAACUCCGUG